This 497-nucleotide ribosomal RNA is filed under the name uncultured bacterium. Its description in RNAcentral is "partial 16S ribosomal RNA". It matches the Rfam family "Bacterial small subunit ribosomal RNA", at positions 28 to 507 of the family's 1533-position model. The record is from RNAcentral.
GACGAACGCUGGCGGCGUGCCUAAUACAUGCAAGUUGAGCGCUGAAGGUUGGUACUUGUACCAACUGGAUGAGCAGCGCACGGGUGAGUAACGCGUGGGGAAUCUGCCUUUGAGCGGGGGACAACAUUUGGAAACGAAUGCUAAUACCGCAUAAAAUCUUUAAACACAAGUUUUAAGUUUGAAAGAUGCAAUUGCAUCACUCAAAGAUGAUCCCGCGUUGUGUUAGCUAGUUGGUGAGGUAACGGCUCACCAAGGCGAUGAUACAUAGCCGACCUGGGAGGGUGAUCGGCCACAUUGGGACUGAGACACGGCCCAAUCGCCUACGGGAGGCAGCAGUAGGGAAUCUUCGGCAAUGGACGAAAGUCUGACCGAGCAACGCCGCGUGAGUGAAGAAGGUUUUCGGAUCGUAAAACUCUGUUGGUAGAGAAGAACGUUGGUGAGAGUGGAAAGCUCAUCAAGUGACGGUAACUACCCAGAAAGGGACGGCUAACUACGUG